CUAGGAGAGACUCACUUGGGUGCCCAUGGAAAGAUCCAUCCUUGGCCUAAUGCUUUGAUCUUCAGGCCUGUAAAUGUGCACUAGGGGUCCCUGUCCUAGCCUUCUGAGCCUCAGGACUGGCUGCAGAUCAUUUUCUUUACACACCCAGGACCAGUAGCUUCCAGUUGAAAGAAACCUUUGUCUCUGAGGCAGAUUGGAGACUUUUUUUUUUUUUGAGGGGGUACUGGGAAUUCAACUCAGGCACUCGACCACUGAGCCACAUCCCCAGCCCUAUUUUGUAUUUUAUUUAGAGACAGGGUCUCACUGAGUUGUUUAAGGCCUCGCCAUUGCUGAGGCUGGCUUUGAACCUGAGGUCCUCCUGCCUCAGCCUCCCAAGCUGCUGAGAUUACAGGGUUGCGUUACUGCGCCCCGCCUGAUACUUGACUUCUUAAUGAAAGAUGGCCCUGUACUAGGCCUCUGAGAUCUAGGAAGACUAGAACAGGAAUCCACAUACCUAGUUGCCUUCCACCAGAGGGCUUGGGGCACUAAAAUCUUCCCUCUUUUUAAGGGGAGAAGGAACUCUGCUAGGACAGAGCUUUGAAGCUCAGACGUGUUCCUCCUACGAGCAGGGUUACUUGGCUGAUGGAUCAAAAGAGAAAGCAGAGAGCCCCCAGAAUUCCUGGACCAACAGCGGGCCUCCCUGCAGUUUGCAGAAUGAAGACAACAUCCAGAUGGAAGGAGAAAAAAACAGGAAUUCCGCCAUGCCUGAAGCCAGUCUACCUGAUCUUCGCUGUUCUUUGAGUCAUGAAAUUUUCUUCUUUGCUUAGGCCAGUUUGAGACAAAUUUUCUAUCAAAACCCACAAAAAAAUCCCAGCAAUGGUAAAUGGCAGGAAAAGCGAAAACACAGGGUUGGAGAAUGUCAAGUCCACUCAGGGGCAGAAGGAGGACCUCGGGGGUGACCCUGGCUGGAUCAAGAGUGUGGAGUCAAUUUCCUCAAGCAACUGGCACCAAAGGGAAUUUGGGGGGAAGAUGUUGGCAGAAUUCAGGCAAUGACUUCGUGAAGUAAACAGAAUUUCUGAAAUCAGAAGACGACAAGACUGGAGGUCCAGUUUUGGAGCACCUGACCACGAAGCCUAUGUCUUAAGUUGGGGUUUCCCCUACCCCCAGAAGCCAAUGCUGAGGUAAAGACUCAAGGGCAGGGCUGGGGUGUAGCUCGGUGGUAGAGCGCUUGCCUAGCGCAUGUGAGGCCCUGGGUUGGAUCCUAUGCACACAUAAAAAUGGAUAAAUAAAAUAAAGGUGUAAAAAGUGU
RNAcentral lists this long non-coding RNA (1288 nucleotides) under Marmota monax (woodchuck). Lineage: Eukaryota; Metazoa; Chordata; Mammalia; Rodentia; Sciuridae. The record is from RNAcentral.